RNAcentral lists this ribosomal RNA (504 nucleotides) under Bacillus subtilis. RNAcentral's name for it is "bacterial SSU rRNA". It matches the Rfam family "Bacterial small subunit ribosomal RNA", at positions 134 to 623 of the family's 1533-position model. Lineage: Bacteria; Bacillati; Bacillota; Bacilli; Caryophanales; Bacillaceae. The record is from RNAcentral.
AAGACUGGGAUAACUCCGGGAAACCGGGGCUAAUACCGGAUGGUUGUUUGAACCGCAUGGUUCAAACAUAAAAGGUGGCUUCGGCUACCACUUACAGAUGGACCCGCGGCGCAUUAGCUAGUUGGUGAGGUAACGGCUCACCAAGGCGACGAUGCGUAGCCGACCUGAGAGGGUGAUCGGCCACACUGGGACUGAGACACGGCCCAGACUCCUACGGGAGGCAGCAGUAGGGAAUCUUCCGCAAUGGACGAAAGUCUGACGGAGCAACGCCGCGUGAGUGAUGAAGGUUUUCGGAUCGUAAAGCUCUGUUGUUAGGGAAGAACAAGUACCGUUCGAAUAGGGCGGUACCUUGACGGUACCUAACCAGAAAGCCACGGCUAACUACGUGCCAGCAGCCGCGGUAAUACGUAGGUGGCAAGCGUUGUCCGGAAUUAUUGGGCGUAAAGGGCUCGCAGGCGGUUUCUUAAGUCUGAUGUGAAAGCCCCCGGCUCAACCGGGGAGGGU